Molecule: transfer RNA, 84 nt
Filed under: Pseudomonadota bacterium
Lineage: Bacteria; Pseudomonadati; Pseudomonadota
Also listed under: 1 other name
Description: tRNA-Ser
Rfam family: tRNA
About the family: Transfer RNA (tRNA) molecules are approximately 80 nucleotides in length. Their secondary structure includes four short double-helical elements and three loops (D, anti-codon, and T loops).
Source: RNAcentral
GGUGGGGUGGCAGAACUGGGAUUGCGCCGGCCUCGAAAGCCGGUGGCCUUUAAGGCCGUGAGGGUUCGAAUCCCUCCCCCACCG